This 233-nucleotide unclassified non-coding RNA is filed under the name Glomus sp. RNAcentral's name for it is "partial contains 5.8S ribosomal RNA and internal transcribed spacer 2". The stretch from base 1 to 65 matches the Rfam family "5.8S ribosomal RNA", at positions 84 to 154 of the family's 154-position model. Lineage: Eukaryota; Fungi; Glomeromycota; Glomeromycetes; Glomerales; Glomeraceae. The record is from RNAcentral.
GUGAAUCAUCGAAUUUUUGAACGCACAUUGCGCUCUCUUGGGAGAGUAUGCCUGUUUGAGGGUCAGCCUCAAUAAAAUCGACAUAGUUGCUGUUUUCGCGGUGACAUUCGUCGGAAAUUGGGUCAUCUUAAACCUUUGUGCUUUCAGCGGAUUAAACUUUUCUUUACGAUUCAACGAACGUUUCUAAGCUAUUAACUCCUUACACGAUUAAGGAAUCGGUCUUUAUUGGACGC